RNAcentral lists this ribosomal RNA (253 nucleotides) under uncultured bacterium. RNAcentral's name for it is "partial 16S ribosomal RNA". It matches the Rfam family "Bacterial small subunit ribosomal RNA", at positions 524 to 776 of the family's 1533-position model. The record is from RNAcentral.
UACGGAGGGUGCGAGCGUUGUCCGGAAUCAUUGGGCGUAAAGGGCGCGUAGGCGGUUGGGGAAGUCCGUGGUGAAAGCUCGUGGCUCAACUACGAGUCGGCCAUGGAUACUCCUUGACUUGAGCACUGUAGAGGCAGAUGGAAUUCCGGGUGUAGCGGUGGAAUGCGUAGAGAUCCGGAAGAACACCGGUGGCGAAGGCGGUCUGCUGGGCAGUAGCUGACGCUGAGGCGCGACAGCGUGGGGAGCAAACAGG